GAUGCCGGCCGAGCUUCCGGGCGCUUGGGUUUCCAUUACUCCGAACGAACUGAUGGAAGCUGUUGCAUCCCACACGUAAAGGAUGCGACGGUGAAUAAUAUGGCCCAGGCCCUCGGGACACUUGUUGGCUCCUAAAGGAGCUGAACCUACUAUCUUAGCUUGUACCACCUGGACUUGUAUGAAGAAGGUCAUAGCUCUUGAAAUACACUGUGCUUUGGAGAGACCCAAAAGCGGUAGUCCUGAAAUCAAUCUAGUGUCUCCUAGCCUUAGAAAUGACUGGGGAGGGGCUCCAGCGUGGUUCAGUCGGUUAAGCGUCAGACUUCGGCUCAGAUGAUAAGAACAGGGAUGCAGAGUUCAGAGUUGACUCCAAAGAAGGAAAUUUCUAAAAGGUCAGAAUCAUCGAAUGGGACAUCAGGAGGAUCCUGUGUGGUGGUUCCUGAAGGAUCAGAAGCUAUAGGCCUGUAAAGAUACUUCAGAGGAACUAAAAGGCCAACCCUCACAUGGAGAAGCAGAAGCUGAAAGACAGCAAGGAAGUCUUAUGGAUCCUCCCAGGGUGGGUAAGUGUUGCAUCCACACAAGUCCUGAAACAGAAUGCUACGGCACCAGUGACAGUCACAGCAAAGUUUAUUGCAACGAAAGGCAAGGCCGACCAAUCGGGCCGACGCUCUUGAUCAGAGUGUGGCCUCGAACAGCUGGGUACGGAGUUUUUAUAGUCGACCACAUCAUCUUGUCAUCACCUGGGAAUAGAACAAAGAAACAGUUCCCAGAUGGGGAUGGAAACAGUUCUGCCACCGCAACCAGUUGACCUCCUUGACCCUGCCUCUGGUGCCACUUUUAAAACAAAGCUGUUAUCUCUUAGCCUACAGUGUCAAAACAAAGCUGUUAUUUCUCAAGGCUACAGGUUAGCCCUACACUACAAUUUUGCCCUUACAGUGAGUACAUCUUAAAUGAAAAAUUCACUCUGAACAUUGCAGUCUCUCUAAGCCUUUAAAUUCCUUUCCUCUAGUGGCACCUCAGUCAGUUAAGUAUCCAACUCGUUUUUGUUUUGUUUUGUUGUUUUGGGUUU
Molecule: long non-coding RNA, 1066 nt
Organism: Neofelis nebulosa (Clouded leopard)
Lineage: Eukaryota; Metazoa; Chordata; Mammalia; Carnivora; Felidae
Exons: 3
Source: RefSeq, a predicted model, not a curated record